CAGCAGCCGCGGGAAUACGUAGGGUGCAAGCGUUAAUCGGAAUUACUGGGCGUAAAGCGUGCGCAGGCGGUUGUGUAAGUCUGAUGUGAAAGCCCCGGGCUCAACCUGGGAACUGCAUUGGAGACUGCACGGCUAGAGUGCGUCAGAGGGGGGUAGAAUUCCGCGUGUAGCAGUGAAAUGCGUAGAGAUGCGGAGGAAUACCGAUGGCGAAGGCAGCCCCCUGGGAUGACACUGACGCUCAUGCACGAAAGCGUGGGGAGCAAACAGGAUUAGAUACCCCAGUAGUCCCUGUCUCUUAUAC
Molecule: ribosomal RNA, 301 nt
Filed under: uncultured bacterium
Lineage: Bacteria
Description: partial 16S ribosomal RNA
Rfam family: Bacterial small subunit ribosomal RNA
Source: RNAcentral